This is a non-coding RNA of Triticum aestivum (bread wheat), 135 nucleotides long. The record is from Rfam. NCBI's taxonomy places the organism in Eukaryota, Viridiplantae, Streptophyta, Magnoliopsida, Poales, Poaceae.
CUAGUACUUUCUUCGUUCGAAAAUAUUUGUCAUCAAAAUAGAUAAGAAGAGAUGUAUCUAUAACUAAAAUAUGUCUAGAUACACCCCUUUUUAUUUAUUUUGGUGACAAGUAUUUUUGGACGAAGGGAGUACGUA